This 373-nucleotide ribosomal RNA is filed under the name uncultured Bacteroidota bacterium. Its description in RNAcentral is "bacterial SSU rRNA". It matches the Rfam family "Bacterial small subunit ribosomal RNA", at positions 521 to 896 of the family's 1533-position model. The record is from RNAcentral. Lineage: Bacteria; Pseudomonadati; Bacteroidota.
UAAUACGGAGGGUGCAAGCGUUAUCCGGAUUCAUUGGGUUUAAAGGGUGCGUAGGCGGAAUAGUAAGUCAGUGGUGAAAUCCUGCAGCUCAACUGCAGAACUGCCAUUGAUACUGCUGUUCUUGAGUAUAGUUGAAGUGGGCGGAAUGUGUCAUGUAGCGGUGAAAUGCAUAGAUAUGACACAGAACACCAAUUGCGUAGGCAGCUCACUAAACUAUUACUGACGCUCAGGCACGAAAGCGUGGGUAGCGAACAGGAUUAGAUACCCUGGUAGUCCACGCCGUAAACGAUGAUUACUCGAUGCUGGCGAUAUACUGUCAGUGUCCAAGCGAAAGUGUUAAGUAAUCCACCUGGGGAGUACGAUCGCAAGAUUG